This 1772-nucleotide long non-coding RNA is filed under the name Pan troglodytes (chimpanzee). RNAcentral's name for it is "lincRNA". The record is from RNAcentral. Lineage: Eukaryota; Metazoa; Chordata; Mammalia; Primates; Hominidae.
AGGGAAUCUCAGGAUACAAGGAAAACACCAAGAAGUCCCCAUGAGUCCCUACAGCCACAAUAAAUUGAAUUCUGCCAAAAAUCUUAAUAAGCUUGGAAGAAGACCUUCAGCUCCUGAUGAGAACCCAGCCAGAAACAAGAUGAGAACCCAGAAACAAGAUUUUCAUCUUAUUUCAACCUGAGCAGAGACCACAGAGGAGCCCUGGCCAGAUUUUUGGUCUACAGGAUUGAGAAGACACCUGCCUGAGGGUCUUAUAGCUAAUGGACUGCAGAAGACUUGAGUCAUCAUUCAAAUUCAGUAGCCAUCCUCUGAUGUCCAGUUGAAGAUUGGUGAUUCCAGAAUAGCUCGCAUUGUCCCAGUUGACUUGCCACACAGCUUCUUUCAGGACUUGAAAAUGUCCUAGCCACCCCCAUCUUACCUCCUACCUCCAAUGCCUUUUAAGAUAGAAAACAAAAAACAAAACAAAAAAAACACCAGCCACCCUUGUGGGUUAGAUAAUCCUACAUCAAGGUGAAUUCUUGAUAACCAGUUCUGUUCUUCCUUAUGUCUUGUAAACAUGCUAAUUAGAAGGAGCUUGUGUUUGAAGAUCAAGGGAGGAAGAAUUCUGAAGCCAGGGCUAGCCUUAGGGGACAUAACUCCUUCCAGUCACUUCCUGAAUUUUUUGGUACCUGGCUUUUGAGAGUCCCCCAAAAGUGAGUAUUUCAUGACAUGUAACCUCUCAACAUCUGCAUUUUAAAAAAUUGUCCAAAAUACCACAGAUACCACGGAAAAGUCCAAAACUUAAGUUUUUCCCUCCACUCAGAGCAUCUUAACAAUAUACUAACCAUAAGACUCUAAGUGCUCUUACCCUCAAUGCAAUUCUCACUGAAUAUCCUGUCAGGAGAACUCUACCUCUCUUCCAUGUUAUUAAGGUUUUUGUUCUUUGCAAGGUGUACACAACACAAAUAUAUUUCUUGGUGAAUGAACUCACUCUCAAAGACUGCUGUCCUUGGGGAUAUAGCCAACAUGCCAUAUCCACAACAUAGGUCUUCUUUACAGUCCUGUUGAAACAUGUAAGAUCAGCUACUAAGUCCCUGCAUCUCAGACAGGAACUUAAUAGAGUACAUUUAAAAAAAAAUUCAGAAGUAAUUAAAACAAAUUGCAUACAAGCCACCUGUUUAGAAAGUUCAUAAAUUUUAUGCAAUUAUUUAUCUCUUUAUUUUUUCUUAAAUCAAGAGCAGAAUGUAUCCAAGUGAAACUAAAAGAGCAAGGUCAAGGGGAAACAACACAGGGCUUGUGGAGUCAUAAAUAUGUAUUAAAACAGCAGAGUUAAUUUUGUCCCAAGUUCCAUAUUGACCAGGAAAAAAGAAACAAGAUCAGCAGAGUUAACAGCUCUCAACCUGAAUAUGCCUCAGAAUUUCUAGGAGGACUUAAGUAAUGAGAUUCCUGGGUUUCUACAUGGACCAACUCAAUCAAACUCUUCAGGAGACAGCUGCUGUUGUUAGACUGUGUCUCCCAAAAUUCUUGUGUUGGAAACUUAGUUCCCAAUGUAACGAUAUUGGCAGGUGGGGCCUAGUGGGGGGUGUUUAGAUCAUGAGGGCUUCAGCCUCAUGAAUGGAUUAAUGUUGAUAUCUCAGGAGUGAGUUUCCUCUUGCUCUCUGUAGCCCUCUCUCUUGCCACAUGAUGACUUCCACCAGGUUAUGACUCAACAGGAAAGCCCUCACAAGAUGUGGAACCUCAAUCUUAGACUUCCCAGCCUCCAGAAGUGAGCCAAAUAAAUUUCUGUUCAUGAU